UACGUAGGGUGCAAGCGUUGUCCGGAAUUAUUGGGCGUAAAGAGCUCGUAGGCGGUCUGUCGCGUCGGCUGUGAAAACCCGGGGCUCAACCCCGGGCCUGCAGUCGAUACGGGCAGACUAGAGUGCGGUAGGGGAGAAUGGAAUUCCUGGUGUAGCGGUGAAAUGCGCAGAUAUCAGGAGGAACACCGGUGGCGAAGGCGGGUCUCUGGGCCGUAACUGACGCUGAGGAGCGAAAGCGUGGGGAGCGAACAGG
This 253-nucleotide ribosomal RNA is filed under the name uncultured bacterium. RNAcentral describes it as "partial 16S ribosomal RNA". It matches the Rfam family "Bacterial small subunit ribosomal RNA", at positions 524 to 776 of the family's 1533-position model. The record is from RNAcentral.